CCUACGGGGGGCAGCAGGCGCGAAACCUUUACACUGCACGACAGUGCGAUAGGGGGAUCCCAAGUGCACAGGCAUAGCGCCUGUGCUUUUCGGUACCCUAAGGCGGUACCAGAAUAAGGGCUGGGCAAGACCGGUGCCAGCCGCCGCGGUAAUACCGGCAGCCCAAGUGAUGGCCGAUCUUAUUGGGCCUAAAGCGUCCGUAGCUGGCCGCGCAAGUCCAUCGGGAAAUCCACCUGCUCAACAGGUGGGCGCCCGGUAGAAACUGCGUGGCUUGGGACCGGAAGGCGCGACGGGUACGUCCGGGGUAGGAGUGAAAUCCCGUAAUCCUGGACGGACCGCCGAUGGCGAAAGCACGUCGCGAGAACGGAUCCGACAGUGAGGGACGAAAGCCAGGGUCUCGAACCGGAUUAGAUACCCCCGUAGUC
Molecule: ribosomal RNA, 425 nt
Filed under: uncultured archaeon
Lineage: Archaea
Description: bacterial SSU rRNA
Rfam family: Archaeal small subunit ribosomal RNA
Source: RNAcentral